This 447-nucleotide ribosomal RNA is filed under the name uncultured bacterium. RNAcentral describes it as "partial 16S ribosomal RNA". It matches the Rfam family "Bacterial small subunit ribosomal RNA", at positions 29 to 523 of the family's 1533-position model. The record is from RNAcentral.
AACGAACGCUGGCGGCAGGCUUAACACAUGCAAGUCGAACGCCCCGCAAGGGGAGUGGCAGACGGGUGAGUAACACGUGGGAACGUGCCCUAAGGUUUGGAAUAUUCCCGGGAAACUGGGAGCAAUACCAAAUGUGUCCGCAAGGAGAAAGAUUUAUCGCCUUAGGAUCGGCCCGCGUCAGAUUAGCUAGUUGGUGGGGUAAAAGCCUACCAAGGCGACGAUCUGUAGCUGGUCUGAGAGGACGACCAGCCACACUGGGACUGAGACACGGCCCAGACUCCUACGGGAGGCAGCAGUGGGGAAUCUUGGACAAUGGGCGCAAGCCUGAUCCAGCCAUGCCGCGUGGAUGAUGAAGGCCCUAGGGUUGUAAAAUCCUUUCGUUGGGGACGAUAAUGACGGUACCCAAAGAAGAAGCUCCGGCUAACUUCGUGCCAGCCGCCGCGGUAA